UACGUAGGGUGCAAGCGUUAAUCGGAAUUACUGGGCGUAAAGCGUGCGCAGGCGGUUUUGUAAGUCUGUCGUGAAAGCCCCGGGCUCAACCUGGGAAUUGCGAUGGAGACUGCAAGGCUUGAAUCUGGCAGAGGGGGGUAGAAUUCCACGUGUAGCAGUGAAAUGCGUAGAGAUGUGGAGGAACACCGAUGGCGAAGGCAGCCCCUGGGUCAAGAUUGACGCUCAUGCACGAAAGCGUGGGGAGCAAACAGG
This 252-nucleotide ribosomal RNA is filed under the name uncultured bacterium. RNAcentral describes it as "partial 16S ribosomal RNA". It matches the Rfam family "Bacterial small subunit ribosomal RNA", at positions 524 to 776 of the family's 1533-position model. The record is from RNAcentral.